This 255-nucleotide ribosomal RNA is filed under the name uncultured bacterium. Its description in RNAcentral is "partial 16S ribosomal RNA". It matches the Rfam family "Bacterial small subunit ribosomal RNA", at positions 99 to 354 of the family's 1533-position model. The record is from RNAcentral.
CGGACGGGUGAGUAACACGUGAGCAAUCUGCCUUUGGGAGGGGGAUAACGUCUGGAAACGGACGCUAAUACCGCAUAAUGUAUGGUUUUCGCAUGGGAAGCAUACCAAAGAUUUAUCGCCCAAAGAUGAGCUCGCGGCUGAUUAGCUAGUUGGCGGGGUAAAGGCCCACCAAGGCGACGAUCAGUAGCCGGACUGAGAGGUUGAACGGCCACAUUGGGACUGAGACACGGCCCAGACUCCUACGGGAGGCAGCAG